RNAcentral lists this ribosomal RNA (423 nucleotides) under uncultured Glomeraceae. Its description in RNAcentral is "SSU rRNA". It matches the Rfam family "Eukaryotic small subunit ribosomal RNA", at positions 459 to 886 of the family's 1831-position model. Lineage: Eukaryota; Fungi; Glomeromycota; Glomeromycetes; Glomerales; Glomeraceae. The record is from RNAcentral.
GGGAGGUAGUGACAAUAAAUAACAAUACGGGGUUCUUUAGGAUCUUGUAAUUGGAAUGAGUACAAUUUAAAUCUCUUAACGAGGAACAAUUGGAGGGCAAGUCUGGUGCCAGCAGCCGCGGUAAUUCCAGCUCCAAUAGCGUAUAUUAAAGUUGUUGCAGUUAAAAAGCUCGUAGUUGAAUUUCGGGGUCAGCAAGUUGGUCGUGCCACUGGUAUGCACUGGCUUUGCUGAUUCCUCCUUCUUGUAGAACCGUAAUGCCAUUAAGUUGGUGUUGCGGGGAAACAGGACUGUUACUUUGAAAAAAUUAGAGUGUUUAAAGCAGGCCAACGCCUGAAUACAUUAGCAUGGAAUAAUGAAAUAGGACGUUCGAACCUAUUUUGUUGGUUUCUAGGAUUGACGUAAUGAUUAAUAGGGAUAGUUGGG